This 404-nucleotide ribosomal RNA is filed under the name uncultured bacterium. RNAcentral's name for it is "partial 16S ribosomal RNA". It matches the Rfam family "Bacterial small subunit ribosomal RNA", at positions 30 to 526 of the family's 1533-position model. The record is from RNAcentral.
AUUGAACGCUGGCGGCAGGCCUAACACAUGCAAGUCGAGCGAGAGGCGGACGGGUGAGUAAUGCAUGGGAAUUGCCCAGUCGAGGGGGAUAACAGUUGGAAACGACUGCUAAUACCGCAUACGAUGGGAGUGCCAAGGUGGGAUUUGCUAGUUGGUGAGGUAGUGGCUCACCAAGGCGACGAUCCCUAGCUGGUCGGAGAGGAUGGUAAGCCCCCCUGGAACUGAGACACGGUCCAGUCUCCUACGGUAGGCAGCAGUGGGGAAUAUUGCACAAUGGGGGAAACCCUGAUGCAGCCAUGCCGCGUGUCUGAAGAAGGCCUUGCGGUUGUAAAGCACUUUCAGUGAGGAGGCGGUACUCGAAGAAGAAGCACCGGCUAACUCCGUGCCAGCAGCCGCGGUAAUAC